GCAGGACCAUUAGGUUGUCUGGUCAGGCUGAUAGCAGGACCAUUAGGUUGUCUGGUCAGACUGAUAGCAGGGCCAUUAGGUUGUCUGGUCAGGCUGAUAGCAGGACCAUUAGGUUGUCUGGUCAGGCUGAUAGCAGGACCAUUAGGUUGUCUGGUCAGGCUGAUAGCAGGACCAUUAGGUUGUCUGGUCAGGC
This is a long non-coding RNA of Oncorhynchus keta (chum salmon), 193 nucleotides long. RefSeq lists it as uncharacterized. The record is from RefSeq and is a predicted model, not a curated record. Lineage: Eukaryota; Metazoa; Chordata; Actinopteri; Salmoniformes; Salmonidae. The transcript has 3 exons.